This 496-nucleotide ribosomal RNA is filed under the name uncultured bacterium. RNAcentral describes it as "partial 16S ribosomal RNA". It matches the Rfam family "Bacterial small subunit ribosomal RNA", at positions 29 to 507 of the family's 1533-position model. The record is from RNAcentral.
ACGAACGCUGGCGGCGUGCCUAAUACAUGCAAGUUGAGCGCUGAAGGUUGGUACUUGUACCAACUGGAUGAGCAGCGAACGGGUGAGUAACGCGUGGGGAAUCUGCCUUUGAGCGGGGGACAACCUUUGGAAACGAAUGCUAAUACCGCAUAAAAACUUUAAACACCAGUUUUAAGUUUGAAAGAUGCAAUUGCAUCACUCAAAGAUGAUCCCGCGUUGUAUUAGCUAGUUGGUGAGGUAAAGGCUCACCAAGGCGAUGAUACAUAGCCGACCUGAGAGGGUGAUCGGCCACAUUGGGACUGAGACACGGCCCAAACUCCUACGGGAGGCAGCAGUAGGGAAUCUUCGGCAAUGGACGAAAGUCUGACCGAGCAACGCCGCGUGAGUGAAGAAGGUUUUCGGAUCGUAAAACUCUGUUGGUAGAGAAGAACGUUGGUGAGAGUGGAAAGCUCAUCAAGUGACGGUAACUACCCAGAAAGGGACGGCUAACUACGUG